UAGAGUUUGAUCAUGGCUCAGGAUGAACGCUAGCGGCAGGCCUAAUACAUGCAAGUCGAACGGUGUCUUCGGACAUAGUGGCGCACGGGUGCGUAACACGUAUGCAACCUACCUUACAUUGGGGGAUAGCCUUUCGAAAGGGAGAUUAAUACCGCAUAAGACAGUAGUCUGGCAUCAGACAGCUGUUAAAGAUUUAUCGAUGUAAGCUGGGCAUGCGACCAAUUAGUUAGUUGGCGAGGUAAUGGCUCACCAAGACUAUGAUUGGUAGGGGAACUGAGAGGUCAAUCCCCCACACUGGCACUGAGAUACGGGCCAGACUCCUACGGGAGGCAGCAGUAGGGAAUAUUGGGCAAUGGACGCAAGUCUGACCCAGCCAUGCCGCGUGCAGGAAGAAGGCGUUAUGCGUUGUAAACUGCUUUUAUACAGGAAGAAACGACUCUUGCGAGAGGCAUUGACGGUACUGUAUGAAUAAGCACCGGCUAACUCCGUGCCAGCAGCCGCGGUAAUACGGAGGGUGCAAGCGUUGUCCGGAUUUAUUGGGUUUAAAGGGUGCGCAGGUGGUUUAUUAAGUCAGUGGUGAAAGACGGUCGCUCAACGAUUGCAGUGCCAUUGAAACUGGUAGACUUGAGUAAAGUAGAGGUGGGCGGAAUUGAUAGUGUAGCGGUGAAAUGCAUAGAUAUUAUCAAGAACUCCAAUUGCGUAGGCAGCUCACUUGGCUUUUACUGACACUCAUGCACGAAAGUGUGGGUAUCAAACAGGAUUAGAUACCCUGGUAGUCCACACUGUAAACGAUGAUAACUAGGUGUCGGCCGAA
This 814-nucleotide ribosomal RNA is filed under the name uncultured Bacteroidota bacterium. RNAcentral's name for it is "bacterial SSU rRNA". It matches the Rfam family "Bacterial small subunit ribosomal RNA", at positions 1 to 831 of the family's 1533-position model. The record is from RNAcentral. Lineage: Bacteria; Pseudomonadati; Bacteroidota.